CCGGGUGUGGCGAAGCUUGGUAUCGCGCUUGGUUCGGGUCCAAGAGGCCGCAGGUUCAAAUCCUGUCACUCGGACCA
This 77-nucleotide transfer RNA is filed under the name Pseudoflavonifractor capillosus. RNAcentral's name for it is "tRNA-Pro". It matches the Rfam family "tRNA". From Rfam's summary of the family: Transfer RNA (tRNA) molecules are approximately 80 nucleotides in length. Their secondary structure includes four short double-helical elements and three loops (D, anti-codon, and T loops). Lineage: Bacteria; Bacillati; Bacillota; Clostridia; Eubacteriales; Oscillospiraceae. The record is from RNAcentral. RNAcentral also lists the same sequence under 5 other names.